UACGAAGGGGGCUAGCGUUGCUCGGAAUUACUGGGCGUAAAGGGCGCGUAGGCGGCGCGGGAAGUCAUCGGUGAAAGUUCAGGGCUCAACUCUGAAUCGGCCGGUGAUACUCUCGUGCUUGAGCACUGUAGAGGCAGGUGGAAUUCCGGGUGUAGCGGUGGAAUGCGUAGAGAUCCGGAAGAACACCGGUGGCGAAGGCGGCCUGCUGGGCAGUAGCUGACGCUGAUGCGCGACAGCGUGGGGAGCAAACAGG
This 253-nucleotide ribosomal RNA is filed under the name uncultured bacterium. RNAcentral describes it as "partial 16S ribosomal RNA". It matches the Rfam family "Bacterial small subunit ribosomal RNA", at positions 524 to 776 of the family's 1533-position model. The record is from RNAcentral.